GUACUGAAGAUGGAUGGGGAUCAUUAGGUUUCUCUUAUUAUAUUGUCCCACAAAUAUCUUAACCGUUUGUGUGCUGGAGAGGCAAAUAUUUGACUUCCUUGGAUAUCAGUGGGCACCUAUCCUGGCAAAUUUUGUACAUAUUAUUAUCGUCAUUCUUGGUUUGUUUGGAACUAUUCAGUAUAGACCUCGUUACAUAACAGGAUAUGCUGUCUGGCUAGUCCUCUGGGUUACGUGGAAUGUGUUUGUUAUCUGCUUCUAUUUGGAGGCUGGGGACCUCUCAAAGCACCCAUCUGUGAACUGGUGGAAGGAGCCAUGUUUAUGAAACUCAGAGAGUGGAAGAAAGCACUAGAACUGCAAAUCCAGAAUUUCAGUCUACAGAGUAAGGAAGGGACAAGGCUGGUCCUGCAUCUAUUCCUGUAGACCCUGCAAUGCCAGGGGAUAUAGCACAAGGCCAUUGUAAGUUCCAUGAGGAACUAGGAAAGAGAAAAAAAAAGAGAAGCAUCUAAAAAUGUGUUAAAAGUUCACAUUUCUGGUGCUGUUUUGGGCAUUUUUAUGGGAAAGUUCUUUGUAAGUAAUACAAUAUCUUUGAAAGAAA
RNAcentral lists this small RNA (595 nucleotides) under Pongo abelii (Sumatran orangutan). RNAcentral's name for it is "processed transcript". Lineage: Eukaryota; Metazoa; Chordata; Mammalia; Primates; Hominidae. The record is from RNAcentral.